UACGUAGGGGCCUAGCGUUGUCCGGAUUUAUUGGGCGUAAAGAGCUCGUAGGCGGUUUGUCGCGUCUGCUGUGAAAACUCGGGGCUUAACUCCGGGCCUGCAGUGGGUACGGGCAGACUAGAGUGCGGUAGGGGAGACUGGAAUUCCUGGUGUAGCGGUGAAAUGCGCAGAUAUCAGGAGGAACACCGGUGGCGAAGGCGGGUCUCUGGGCCGUAACUGACGCUGAGGAGCGAAAGCGUGGGGAGCGAACAGG
RNAcentral lists this ribosomal RNA (253 nucleotides) under uncultured bacterium. Its description in RNAcentral is "partial 16S ribosomal RNA". It matches the Rfam family "Bacterial small subunit ribosomal RNA", at positions 524 to 776 of the family's 1533-position model. The record is from RNAcentral.